This is a long non-coding RNA of Lytechinus pictus (painted urchin), 2957 nucleotides long. RefSeq lists it as uncharacterized. NCBI's taxonomy places the organism in Eukaryota, Metazoa, Echinodermata, Echinoidea, Temnopleuroida, Toxopneustidae. The transcript is spliced from 3 exons. The record is from RefSeq and is a predicted model, not a curated record.
GAAUGUGAAAAAUUGUUAUCAAUUAGGUCCCUCCAUAUGGUAUUGAGACAAGAACAAGUUUUAUUUUGAUGAUCCAGUCAAUGUGAAAUCUCAGUUUGAGGAAUAGGAAAUUUAUAGAGCAUAAAUAAUGGUGAUGCCAUUCACUUGUAUGCACAUUUAGUUGUAUUUGUCUUUGACACCAUGAGAAGGAACAAGAUCAGGAAAUGAAGGAGGGCAAACUAUUCUAAAGAUAUAGAAAAGAAGAGCUUUGUUUGCAUUUUAUGAAUUUCAAUCAACGACUCAGACAAGUGUACACAGAGUAGGAUGGAAGAAGCAUAAUAAACACUUCACUCAGACAGUAUGCAAGUAUUUGACUUCAACAAGUGAGCUCAAGAAUUUAGGAAAAGAUUUUCUGACCAAGUACUGUAGAAUGCAUUCUUUAAUUGGCAUGUUUCUCAUGGACUGCCUCGCUGCCGAUACUCCCCAUUUCUACGGCAAGUCAGCGCUAGUCUGAACAUGGACCUAGGUCUGAAGAAGCCUGUAGAAAUGAGUAGGCGAAAGCUCACAUGGGGAUCAGUUCAAGUACCUUCAUCACAAUACCAUGUCCUAAGGAUUACAGUAGCAGACAGAGAGAACUGUAAAAAGAGAUAUUCAGAGCUACGCAAUCUCAAAAUGCAGAUCAGAAAGACUUGUUUAAUCAGUUUUGUAAGUUGUAAAAAAUCAACAGUAAUUUCAAUAUUCAUAUUGUUUUAGAGUAGGUUUUCAUCAUAAUGGAUUUGUUUUUCUCUCUAUUCAGAAGAAUGAAAAUUGGUAGCAUUGAUCAGGAUCACACUUUUACCUGUUUGUAAGAGCCAAAGAUCCCUUGCAAGUGAUUAGUCUGUGUAACUGCAGUACACUGAUUUAUAAGAAACUUCACGAGACCCUCUUGAAUUUUGAUUUCAGAUUUAGACAAUAUUUAGCAAAAUUCAAUUUUUUAUCAUUAUAGUCCUUGUUUUAAAUUUGUGAAAACUUUGAAACCAAUUAAAUAUUCCAGCAUCCUCUUGUAGACAGUAUAGAGAAUGAAGUAAUCAUGCCAAAAUAAGUGAUGAUUACAGGGGACAAAACAGUGUCUUUUAUCCUGUUCUGGCUUAUCUUAAUGAGUUUGAUUGCUUUUAUCUCAUUUAAAGGAUCAAUGAACUUUGUCUACAUAUAAGGUUGUCAACCCUGUUAGUCAAGGCCAGUAAUUCAGUUGUGCAACUUUGAAAUUAUUUCAUUCCGUGUGCUUAUUUGAAUGAUCACUUUGCAAAGAAAUGUGUUAUUAACGUAAUAUUUAUGUUUUUAAUUGCUAUCUUCGUUGAGAUUUUUUUUUUAACAUGUCAGGUUAUAACUUGCAAUUGAUACAAGUUUUAUGAAAAAGCUAGGGACCUUGAUUAUGAUACAGUUAACUGAUUUCUCUUUAUUCUGUUUUGCUCAUUGUUAAUCAAGAAACCAGGUCUGUAUACAGUAUUUUUUUAAAUGAAGAAAAAAUAUGCAGUUACCUCAAAGGUUAUCUGAGUAUUUAAAUAACGUCACUGAGUAUUACAAGAAAUACAUUAAUUUCUGUCAGUGACUACUUGAUUAUGUGUUUCUGUAAAGUUGCCAUUGUAAUCAAAACCAUUUCUGAUUGCUUAGAGAUUUAUGAAUGGUAAAAUAAAAGCAGUAAACGUUUCCCCUUUAAUUGCCCUUAUUUAAAGACUACUUCAAUGGCAUGAUACAAUUCUUAUCAGCAUAUCUUAUUUAAAGGUUUAAAGUCUAUCUUGUAUUCCUCAAUGAAAGGCAACUAUUAACCAAGGAGUCUACAAACAAUGAUAAGAAGAGUCUACCUCAUUUGAAUAUAAAAGAUGAGAAGCAUACUAUAUUUUAUGUAAAAAACAAUUGUUAUCAGACAGGUAGAGAAAGAUUAAAGUCAUGAACUGUAGGGAAUUAUACUCAAUUUGUUUGAAAUAUAUAGUGAGUAUUUUAAUACUAUAUUUCAGUUAACACAGCUGUGUGGUGUUUUAUAAAGCUCUUUAUAAGAAAAGCAAAACUGUGAACAACUACAUCUUUUCUUGUGCUGCAUAUAAUUUGUCAGAUCUUAACAUCAUAGCAGUGAAUCCUUUUUAACCAUUUAAAUUUUCUUAACAAUUAAUCGAGCAUUCUAAUUAAAAAAUAUCACAUUCAAACUUAAUUUUAUGGUAAUAAAAAUGAUUGGAAUCUGAUUUAUAACCUCAGCACAUUGUGUGUGAGGUUGUAUGUAACUUAUAUUCAGCUUACACCACCCAUUAAUAUAAAAUAUAUAUAUGUGACAUUGUGUUGAGAUGAGGUGGGAGUUUCUUAAUUUAACCUAAUUUUUGAGUGGCUUCAUACACACUUGAUAUCAUUAUCAUUUGUUUGUAUAUCAGUAUCAGGUACUUUGGACUAUACCUUAGACAAAUGAUAAGAAACCUACAUUGAGCAAUGGCUGUAGCAAACAUUCAGCCAUCUAUACAUUGCAGUUACAGUAUAAUAUUAGAGUUUAUGUUAUAGUCUUAAAAGUUCAAGUUUUUUGUGUUAAGUAUAUAAUGCCCUUGCAUGGACUUUAAACAACAGGCGUUAAUAAAGAGAGGUAUAGGAGAACUAGCUUGUAAUCAGUAAUAUCAUGGAGCUAUUAUUCCUAUGAAGAGUUAUUUCACUGUGGAAACUCAUAGAACAAACUAGUUAAAAGUGACUAGAUUGCAAGGUUACCUGCUAUGGGUUUAUCUGUUUUGUUUUAUUUUUUCAACUAGUAUACAUAGUCACAUUCGAUUACCACUUUGCAUUUUUUAACUAUGUGGUAAAAAUAUGGCUAGACAUUUUAGUUGAACCCAGCUGAGUAUGCCUACUGAUGUAGUCAUUUUAACUAGUUUGUUUUCAGAGAAACAUUUUGACUAUUGUCAAAUUUUAAUGAUCUCAAGCUAUGAAUAUGUUUUAUGAAGAAAUAAAUGAAUAUGUAAAAGUAGAAA